This 2341-nucleotide small RNA is filed under the name Rattus norvegicus (Norway rat). RNAcentral's name for it is "uncharacterized LOC102549751". The record is from RNAcentral. Lineage: Eukaryota; Metazoa; Chordata; Mammalia; Rodentia; Muridae.
GUCAUUUAUCAAUAAAUAAAAGGAUCAAAAGCAAUUUCCACAGUGAUAAGGAUGCUAAUUUGCCCAGGACUUAGCCUUGAAGCCCUCGCCCAUCCUUAAGUUAUCUACCUUCCAUAUUUACCAGCUCUCAAGGAUGUUGCCUUUUGUGCUCAAAGACAGUGAGCCUCAUGAUGUGUAUUCUCAGCCCUACCUUGGUACCAUGCCUGAGGGUGGGCAUCCUGGAGCCAUCUGUGUCACCAGGAAUGGCUCGGGAACUUCUGUCCCUGGCCCCUUAGAGGAGGCAUGCUUGGGCUUCAGUUAGGCAGCCCCCUCCCCUUGGAGCAGACACAGCACAGAGCACACAAGGAGGAGGUGCUGUUGUAGCUACGGGAGUCAUUGUCCUCGAUUCCUGGCACGGAAUCCCCAAGUCCAUAACUUCCAGACAAUAGAGAAAGCCUCUUCUGCCCUAAUAUGUCACCUUUGACCUAGUCCCUGGUGCAGAACUUCCGAAUCCCGUGGGAUGCCCUAGGCUAUAGAAGCCUCUUUUGUCCCAGGGACCUUUUGCUGAUCCGCUGUUGAGGCUGGUCACCCCGUGAAAAUGUUCAGCCUCACCCCAUAUCUCACCCCAUAUCUCACCCCAUAUCCUCCAGCAAGUGAAGGGGACUGCAGACUGCCCUGAUGGUUGGUUGUAUCCUUAUGAUAGAGCCUCUGUAAAACAACAUCCCCUCAAUAGUGGGGCUUCAAGCGCUAGCUAUGCAUGCUGGGAGGAUGUUGUACCCAAUGGGACAUGGAACCUUCCCAUCCCUUCCUUCAUACCUUGCCUUGUACCUCUCUUCAGUGUGUCUCUUCCUGAGUUGUAUCCUUUUGCAAUAGGUUGGGUGAGUCAGGAAAGCAUUUCUGUGACCUCUGUGAAGACUUCUAGCAAAGGAUGGAUCCCAAAAGGAUUGUGAGAGCCUUGGAUUUGCAGCCAAAUCAGACAGAGGGCGACUAGGAUGUGUAUAUAAGUGCAAGUGGCUGUGGGGUCCAGAAAAGGACAUCACAGAGGAGGACGUCACAGAGGAGGACGUCACAGAGGAGGACGUCACAGAGGAGGACGCCACAGAGGAGGACAUCACAGAGGAGGACGCCACAGAGGAGGACAUCAGAUCCCUGAAGUGACAGGCGGCUGUAAGACAUUUGACAGGGGUACUGGGAACUGAACUCAAAAUCUUUGCAAGAGCUCUACAUGCUCUUUACCACUGAGUGAUCUCUGCAGUCUUCAAGUCGCCAUGUUUAAGAAUACAGAACUGGAGGACAUCCCUAUUGGUGUGUUGUCAUCACUACCAUCUAUCCACAGAACUUCCAAGGCCAACUCACUGUACCCAAGCAUUUUAAAGUGGAAACUCUGUUCACAGUUCAUGGGCCAUGUAAAGGCAGGUGCACACCAGCUCGCCCUAGAGGUCACAGUCUGCUGGCUCCAUAUUAGAGCAAAGCAUACCAGACGUUUCUGUGAUACUGAGAAGUGAGAGAGGGCCUUGGCCAGAGCCCACUCCCUUAGACAGCACGAGGACUGGCCGGGGGACCUUUCCUCUGCCCAGCGCCUGGGCUGAUGUCGCUGGUGAGCCUCGGAAAGGAGCUUCCUCCUCCCCCGAGGACUACUUAACUGGCAGGUGGAAUGAAAGGAGUUUUGUCUGAGAUGUGUACUGUAAAAUCCAGCUCACGUGGGAAGAUCGUCGCGAAUAAAGAGCUCCUGCUUGCAUCUUGAAAUGAAAGGGGGAACGUUCUCACCCUAUCACCGGAUAAACAUGCACUUAACAGUUUCAGUCAUUGUCCUCGAGAGUGCUUAUGUAUGCUAGCUAGCUAGGUACUAGAGAGAGUUUAUCCCUUUAAACAGGAACCAUGCCUACGACCGCCUGCUUCCUUUGUUACCUAAAUGCUCUAGGUUAUGGCCUUCUUUUGCUGUCCCUCAUCCUGAAUGAUUAAAUAAGGCUUCUCAAGUCAGAGUCUCCUCGGAAAACACUCUGAGGAUCAGCACUCCGUAGUAAGGAUGAGGACCCUUGGGUCUGCGGGUCUCAGGUGAUUUAGCUGUGCUGUGGUACUUGGGAGCCUCGGGCUUAGAUACAGUGCCCCUCUCUGCCACAUUCCCCAGAUGGUUCAGCAUUGGGUAUGGUAUGAAUUCACAAUUCAUGCUGAUGUAAAAGGAAGCCCCAAGUGGCACAGCAGGCAUCUGGCCUUGGAAACUGCUGCCAUGUAUUGGCGCUUGGUUCAGUUCCCCUGGGAGGUGCCUAAGGCCUCAUUUCUCCCAGACACCUGCUUUAACCGUCCUCCCUGCAGGCCCCGCCCUUUAUCUCUAGAGGAGAAUAGGAGACUGUGAUGCUUACCU